CUCAUCAAGAGCAGUGGAGGGACUGGCCCUGUGAAGCUGCGGCAACCGUUGACGGAUGUCAAAAAGGUGCCAAUUCCUGUAGGUUCUGCCU
This 91-nucleotide non-coding RNA is filed under the name uncultured Selenomonas sp. RNAcentral's name for it is "SAM riboswitch (S box leader)". It matches the Rfam family "SAM riboswitch aptamer (S box leader)", at positions 3 to 96 of the family's 108-position model. Rfam says of the family: The SAM riboswitch is found upstream of a number of genes which code for proteins involved in methionine or cysteine biosynthesis in Gram-positive bacteria. The SAM riboswitch acts at the level of transcription termination control. The record is from RNAcentral. Lineage: Bacteria; Bacillati; Bacillota; Negativicutes; Selenomonadales; Selenomonadaceae.